GAUCGUCAGUUUACCCAUGUACAUUUUCUACCUGGCUUGAGAAUUCUAUUCUUUCUUUAAGAUAAUAAUAGUUUAAGAGUAGGUAACCUUGAUCUUAGGGCGUGAGAUUUCCUGGUGCUUUUGGAGGAUGUUAUUCUGCUGACAUUGGUUCACGUUUUUGAGGUCUAGCCAUGUGCAUUAUGGUCUUGUUGUUGGUUGGAAAUCUUUAUAUCGUGUACCUAAUUUCUUUCUAUGGUUGUUGAGUGGUUUUUGUUUUCCCUUUUUUGAGCUCUUGGGAAC
This 279-nucleotide long non-coding RNA is filed under the name Lathyrus oleraceus (garden pea). RNAcentral's name for it is "Pisum sativum (pea) long non-coding RNA (PSAT_LNC033904)". The record is from RNAcentral. Lineage: Eukaryota; Viridiplantae; Streptophyta; Magnoliopsida; Fabales; Fabaceae.